GAUCCUGGCUCAGAUUGAACGCUGGCGGCAGGCCUAACACAUGCAAGUCGAGCGGAUGAAGAGAGCUUGCUCUCUGAUUCAGCGGCGGACGGGUGAGUAAUGCCUAGGAAUCUGCCUGAUAGUGGGGACAACGUUUCGAAAGGAACGCUAAUACCGCAUACGUCCUACGGGAGAAAGCAGGGGACCUUCGGGCCUUGCGCUAUUCAGAUGAGCCUAGGUCGGNUUAG
Molecule: ribosomal RNA, 227 nt
Filed under: uncultured bacterium
Lineage: Bacteria
Description: partial 16S ribosomal RNA
Rfam family: Bacterial small subunit ribosomal RNA
Source: RNAcentral